CUUCAUUAGUAACGACCCUGAUUCAUUCAGCCACGACGCGAUCCAGGAUUUUGAAACCAGCAGUAAACGUUUAUCUAGAGCCAAGCAGGUGCCAGCUGACAAAAAUAUAAAACCACCUAGAAAGUGCUGCUCGAAAUUUCAGAGAUUGGUAAUAAUCUGGCGGCAGAAGGCACAGUCAUGGAAGGUCAAAUAUAAGCAGCUAUGCAAACAAUUCGAGGCACCGCAGCGGUUGCGCAAAGUGUUCAACGAUGAUCCAAUUCAGCUGGCUCUCGGGCAAGUGAAAAAGGAGUCUUGGAUAAUAUGAUUACCCUGCUCGGCGACAAAGUGUCAGCACUGAACGACGAGGCGAAAGAUUGCGGCUUAUUUCUUGAUGAGAUGAGCAUUGACGAGGCA
Molecule: long non-coding RNA, 393 nt
Organism: Armigeres subalbatus
Lineage: Eukaryota; Metazoa; Arthropoda; Insecta; Diptera; Culicidae
Exons: 3
Source: RefSeq, a predicted model, not a curated record